AUCUGUUCGCAACGGCUUCCUGAAGCGAAUAUAAUGUGAAUUUGGAGCA
Cryomorphaceae bacterium is the source of this 49-nucleotide non-coding RNA. The record is from Rfam. Lineage: Bacteria; Pseudomonadati; Bacteroidota; Flavobacteriia; Flavobacteriales; Cryomorphaceae.